This 403-nucleotide ribosomal RNA is filed under the name uncultured bacterium. RNAcentral describes it as "bacterial SSU rRNA". It matches the Rfam family "Bacterial small subunit ribosomal RNA", at positions 355 to 775 of the family's 1533-position model. The record is from RNAcentral.
UAGGGAAUAUUAGUAAUGGGCGAAAGCCUGAACUAGCAACGCCGCGUGUGCGAAGAAGGCCUUCGGGUUGUAAAGCACUUUUUGAGAGGAUGAGGAAGGACGGUACUCUCAGAAUAAGUCUCAGCUAACUACGUGCCAGCAGCCGCGGUAACACGUAGGAGGCGAACGUUAUCCGGAUUUACUGGGCGUAAAGCGCGUGUAGGUGGUUUGGUAAGUAGGGCGUGAAAGCUCCUGGCUCAACUGGGAGAGGCCGUUCUAAACUGCCGAACUAGAGGAUGGUAGAGGGAGGUGGAAUUCCGGGUGUAGCGGUGGAAUGCGCAGAUAUCCGGAGGAACACCAGUGGCGAAAGCGGCCUCCUGGACCACUCCUGACACUCAGACGUGAAAGCUAGGGUAGCAAACGG